This 2770-nucleotide unclassified non-coding RNA is filed under the name Hevea brasiliensis (rubber tree). The record is from RNAcentral. Lineage: Eukaryota; Viridiplantae; Streptophyta; Magnoliopsida; Malpighiales; Euphorbiaceae.
GAAACUUUGACACCUAAAAUCCUUGAGUAGAAAGUAGGCUGCCUUGUUAUGUAAUUUUCCAUCGAGUCAACAGAAAAAGGGAGAGGAUACAAAUACACAUCAAGACUCAACAGCGAAGCUCUCCUAAAAUAUUUCAAACAAAUGCUGAAGGAAGACAUUUUCAAGUGCUUCUACUAUUGCAUAUUCUAUUUAAAACACUCAGUAAUUAAACAUUAUCAAAUACCAGACGAUGUUCUAAUAACCUAAAAGUGCAUCAAUUUUGAAAAAUUCAGUGAAUAGAACAUAUAGUUUGAAGAUAAUCUUCGCAACAUCAACAGACCUCCCCAAAAAGGAAUGCGCCACACAGCAAUCACAUUUAAAUUUAAAUUCUGGGCUUUGCAUAACAUAGGUCCGAAUCAGGCACCCAAAUUUGACAAAACAAAGCCACAAUUUCCACCAUCAUCAACAUUCUACGAGUUAUUCAAUGGGGUGUUCCUCCCCAUUUGUAAAAGGGCAAAACUUACAAUCUCCAGCAUUCCUGGUUGUUAAAAAAAAAAAAUCCUUAGCAUCGAAAAAAAUAAAUAUUUCAGUAGCAAGUAUAUAUGAAAGGGAAAUAUUUGAAUAGACAAAAUAGUACAUGUCUAAAUUGUUAUAUUUAUAUAAAGAAAGCUACAUCAUAUAAUAUGAAAACCUAAAUUAUAGAAAUUCCUCUAGAUGAAAUCCUACUUAUGUGAAAAAACUUGACCAAUCUUAGUUAUAAUAUCUAUUUACCUCAUUAAACUAAACUUCUGAAGACAAAAAAGAGAGAGAGGGAAAAUAAAAGAAAAUGAGAAGAUAAACCAAAAAAGAGAUGGGAAAAAAGCCCUUGCCAAAGAUAACAUUUUCCCAGCAUAAACCAGUUGGCAUUGGCACACACAGAUGGCAGUAAACUAACUUGGAUUUAACAAGAAUUCUAGAUUGGAUCAAUAUGAUUGAGCUGCAGCCAUUGGUACAGAUCUGUAGCAAGCUCUCCUUGCUGCACGAACUAUAUCCUCGACCUGAGGUAAAGCCAUUCUCUCCAGAUUAGCUGCAUAGGGCAUGGGAACAUCAGCUCCAGUAAUUCUCUCAACUGGUGCAUCAAGAUAACCAAAGCUGUCCUCAAUAAUAGAUGCACAGAUUUCAGCGCCAACACCAUGCUGAGGGAAUCCUUCUUCAACUGUCACCAGUCUGUUGGUUUUCCGAACUGAAGCAUUGAUUGCAGGUCUAUCUAGUGGCCUAAUUGAACGCAAAUUUAUAAUCUCAGCACUGAUUCCAUCCUUUGCAAGUAUCUCAGCUGCCUGUGCAACAAAGAAAUGAAUCAUUUCCAUAUGGAAGAAAAAAAUUCAUCCAAUAGCACUAUGAAGUUUCCAAACAAAUAGCUCUACAUAUGAGGUGCAAAAUUCAUCAAAUGAGUGCUACAAAAUGAGGUACCAGAAGAGGCGGCAGCACAAAAUAAUUAAUGCAUAAACAUCAGAAAAUAUUACAGGAAACAUUAAAUCAAAGAACAGCCAUAAUCCCAUCACUUAAAUUCAAUUACCUCCAAAUUUGGUGACCUGAACACCGAUGCUCCCAAAGAUUGAGCCCCUGUUGCUCAGGCCGCACAGUGUCUACCCAUUUUACUUUUUAUGGUCAAGACAACUAUAUCUUGAGCAAUUUUACUUCAGUGCCUCUCAACAAAUGACAAAUUUUCCAGUGCAGUUUCAAUUUUUUAGAUUCUGAAUUUUUAUCCUCGUGAUAAUAUCCAGUUGUGCACCUACCUGCUACAUCUAAUUUUCACAAAACAUAACACAUCAUGCCAGAUGCAGAUCACACACAUUUCCAAUGUGAAAGAGUUUAAAGAAUGGAAACAAACCUUGAGAGCAUAGCCCACCAUUUUUGAGAAGGCUGUGAUAGUCACAUCCUUCCCUUCUCUCUCAAUCUUAGCUUUUCCUAUUGGAAGGCAAAAACUGGAGUCAAGUACUUCAGCUGAAACAGGAAAUGACUCACCAUAUAAUAACUCAUUUUCCAGGAAAACAACAGGAUCAGGGUCCCUUAUGGCAGCUUUUAGCAGUCCACGAGCAUCUUCAGAUGAGUAAGGGGCCAGCACUUUCAACCCAGGGCAGGAGGCGUACCAUGAAGCAUAACAAUGAGAGUGUUGAGCACCAACUCCUGCUGCAGCACCAUUUGGUCCCCUGAAAACUAUGGGCACAGAUAUCUGGCCAGCAGACAUGUAAUUGGAUUUUGCGGCGGAAUUAAUGAUAUGGUCAAUUGCCUGCAUAGAAAAGUUAAAUGUCAUAAACUCAACAACUGGCUUGAGACCAUAGUAAGCAGCGCCAACUCCAAUGCCAGUAAAUCCAGCCUCAGUAAUCGGAGUAUCAAGAACCCUUUCAGGACCAUACUUCUCCAAAAGCCCUUUAGAUAUCUUAUAUGCGCCCUGAUAUUCCCCAACCUCUUCUCCCAUCAAGAAGACUUUAGGAUCAGCAGACAUUUCCUCGUCGAGAGCAGAGUUCAGUGCUUCUCUAACAGUCAUCUCUUUAGCGGCGGAUGAAUAACCUCUCCAUGCUGAAGUAGCAGGCCGAAUCCUCUGCAGGGACUGCGCAAAAGCUUUUUGCCUAAUAAUCCCCAACAUAUUUUCUUCUUCUUGUUUCACUCAAGUACUUCGGUAGAGACGAACGAAUGAAUUCGACGACGGAAGAGCGAUCGGAUCCACAACCAGAUGUUAAAAUGGCGAUCCAAAGAACCAAAAGUUUCCUUUCACUGGUCUUCUUUAUCAAUUUUUUUAUUAUUAUUUUUU